RNAcentral lists this unclassified non-coding RNA (316 nucleotides) under plant metagenome. RNAcentral's name for it is "partial contains 5.8S ribosomal RNA, internal transcribed spacer 2, and large subunit ribosomal RNA". The stretch from base 1 to 105 matches the Rfam family "5.8S ribosomal RNA", at positions 50 to 154 of the family's 154-position model. The record is from RNAcentral.
GAAAUGCGAUAACUAGUGUGAAUUGCAGAAUUCCGUGAAUCAUCGAGUCUUUGAACGCACAUUGCGCCCCCUGGUAUUUCGGGGGGCAUGCCUGUCCGAGCGUCAUUGCUGCCCAUCAAGCACGGCUUGUGUGUUGGGUCGUCGUCCCCUCUCCGGGGGGGACGGGCCCCAAAGGCAGCGGCGGCACCGCGUCCGAUCCUCGAGCGUAUGGGGCUUUGUCACCCGCUCUGUAGGCCCGGCCGGCGCUUGCCGAACGCAAAUCAAUCUUUUUCCAGGUUGACCUCGGAUCAGGUAGGGAUACCCGCUGAACUUAAGC